This 497-nucleotide ribosomal RNA is filed under the name uncultured bacterium. Its description in RNAcentral is "partial 16S ribosomal RNA". It matches the Rfam family "Bacterial small subunit ribosomal RNA", at positions 29 to 507 of the family's 1533-position model. The record is from RNAcentral.
UAUUAACGCUGGCGGCGUGCCUAAUACAUGCAAGUCGAGCGAACGGACGAGAAGCUUGCUUCUCUGAUGUUAGCGGCGGACGGGUGAGUAACACGUGGAUAACCUACCUAUAAGACUGGGAUAACUUCGGGAAACCGGAGCUAAUACCGGAUGAUAUUUUGAACCGCAUGGUUCAAAAGUGAAAGACGGUCUUGCUGUCACUUAUAGAUGGAUCCGCGCUGCAUUAGCUAGUUGGUAAGGUAACGGCUUACCAAGGCAACGAUGCAUAGCCGACCUGAGAGGGUGAUCGGCCACACUGGAACUGAGACACGGUCCAGACUCCUACGGGAGGCAGCAGUAGGGAAUCUUCCGCAAUGGGCGAAAGCCUGACGGAGCAACGCCGCGUGAGUGAUGAAGGUCUUCGGAUCGUAAAACUCUGUUAUUAGGGAAGAACAUAUGUGUAAGUAACUGUGCACAUCUUGACGGUACCUAAUCAGAAAGCCACGGCUAACUACGUG